This 433-nucleotide ribosomal RNA is filed under the name uncultured bacterium. Its description in RNAcentral is "partial 16S ribosomal RNA". It matches the Rfam family "Bacterial small subunit ribosomal RNA", at positions 29 to 507 of the family's 1533-position model. The record is from RNAcentral.
AACGAACGCUGGCGGCAUGCCUAACACAUGCGAGUCGAACGAGACCUUCGGGUCUAGUGGCGCACGGGUGCGUCACGCGUGGGAACCUGCCCUUAGGUUCGGAAUUACUCUUUGUAAGGGGUGCUAAUAUCGGAUAAUGUCCUCGGAUCACAGAUUGAUCGUCUUUGGAUGGGCACGCGUUGGAUUAGCUAGUUGGUAGGGUAAAAGCCUACCACGGCGACGAUCCAUAGCUGGUCUGAGAGGAAGCUCAGCCACACUGGGACUGUGACACGGCCCAGACUCCUACGGGAGGCAGCAGUGGGGAAUAUUGGACUAUGGGCGAAAGCCUGAUCCAGCAAUGCCGCGUGAGUGAUGAAGGCCGGAGAGUUGUAAAGCUCUUUUACCCGGGAUGAUAAUGACAGUACCGGGAGAAUAAGCACCGGCUAACUCCGUG